Oncorhynchus kisutch (coho salmon) is the source of this 6826-nucleotide long non-coding RNA. RefSeq lists it as uncharacterized. The record is from RefSeq and is a predicted model, not a curated record. Lineage: Eukaryota; Metazoa; Chordata; Actinopteri; Salmoniformes; Salmonidae. The transcript has 4 exons.
ACAGUAUGCUUCAUUAUAUUCUAUCUCACCGCAGAGAUUAUGUUGUUGUAGCCUAUUUGAAAAGGUUGGGACAGCGCAUAGACACGUUUCGAUUAGAGGGGACGCAGAUGGUGGAGGAGACCUACGGGCAUUCUGUCACGAGUUUGCAGUAACAAUAGGACGUAUAUUUAUGGCAGCUGGAGUCCGUAGCCUACACGCGCUUGUAUACAAAAUACAGACAUCUGCAUACUAGUAAUUCCUCAUGCCAUCCAAACACUCCUUUGUCCAGUCUUUUUAUUUACUCUCUUUUAACCGCCCAUCAGAGGCAGCUGCUCGCCAUUUACCAGACCUCUGCUCAAGCAACGUGACGCACUCCACAGCACGUCCUCAUUUUAGAAGAGAUUGACGCAUGGAGGAUCGGACAGCUCGAGCGUUUCAUCGCACCCUUACUGACUGACACAGAUGCUGCGAGACUGGUGCAUUGUGGACCGGCGGUCAAAUUUACAUCAUUGCAAAAGUGGCCAAACCCACAGCCCAGCUGGCAGGAUGCAAGUCCCCAUGACGACUGGGGUGCCCUGGUGUCCCUGACGGACUGGUGAAUACAGGAGUAGGGAGAGACAGAUGGGUAUGUGUCCAGUAUAUCCUCAUACUGUGGAGGGGGUUCUUGUAAAGGCAGAGGUUUAACAGCCGUUAUUGAUGGUAAUUCUGUUUUGUGUGCUCCAUUCCUUGAUAUUUUUUUAUUGACUCUUGUUGGUAUUAGUGGGGGCUGCCGUAACAAGUUAUUCAUUUAAAUGAGGUUAGUUCAAGGUAAAACAUGUCAAAUAAGUUAAAAGGUAAUUCAGGUCCAUUAGAUACUGUUCCUCAACGCUUAUGAUUCUUGGUGAUUUUGCAGCUUAAUUUAGUAACUCUUCAUAGUAUCUAUUGGCAGUGGUCAAGGCCAAUGGUCCAGUACGUCCUUGGUAGGGUUUUGGGGACAGGUGUUCCAGGGGGUUGCGUUCCACUUUCUGCUGCUCUCUGCUCUGUGUUUAUCUCCAGAUAUAUCCUGAGGAAGAUGCUGGGAAGGUGCCAGCCCUCAGAGCCUAUUUAGAUGAGUCCACAACAUGUCCUGACUGACAAGGCUGUCAACAAAGCUGUUUUUAAACAGUUGUCAACGUGGUUCAUCCUUACCGAACUGGGACGGGAACUGGGACCUAUGGCUUUCACCCACUGAGAAAGGGGCACAACAUUGGCAUUCACUUACUGCUGAUGGGGCACAGCCACACUUCUUUAGUUAUCAAUAUGUGUUAGAAGUGUAUCACCUUGCUGUGAUUAUUUGGAUAUUUUACUUAGCCUACUUAAAAUGGGAUUAUCAUUGGCACAUUGCUGGUUCCCCUUUAACCUUUUACUGCAAUGAGCAAAAUCAGUCAGUGUUUCUUGGUUGUCUUAACCUCUCUGGGAGAUGUGUAGCAUCCCACCUCGCCAACAGCCAGUGACAGUGCAGGGUGCCAAAUUCAAAACAACAAAAAUCUCAAUUAAAAUUCCUCAAAGCAUACAAGUAUUUUACACCAUUUUAAAGAUAAAAUUCUCGAUAAUCCAGCCACAGUGUCGGAUAAAAAAAAUGCUUUACAGCAAAAGUACCACAAACGAUUGUUAGGUCACCACCAACUCACAGAAACACAGCCAUUUUUCCAGCCAAAGAGAGGAGUCACAAAAAGCAUGAGAAAAUUAAUCACUAACCUUUGAGCUUCAUCAGAUGACACUCAUAGGACUUCAUGUUACAUACUACAUGUAUGUUUUGUUCGAUAAAGUGCAUAUUUAUACUUUAAAAAAUCUCAUUUUACAUUGGCGCGUUACGUUCAGUAGUAAAACAUGCAGUGAUUGUGCAGAGAGCCACAUCUAUUUACAGAAAUACAUUAUAAAUGUUGAUGAAAAUACAAGUGUUAUACAUGGAAUUUGAGAUACUUCUCCUUAAUGCAACCGCUGUGUCAGAUAAUUUUUUUUUAAACGUUAAGGAAAAAGCAAACCAUGCAAUAAUCUGAGUACAGCGUUCAGACAACAAAGCAGCCAAAAAUAUAUCCGCCAUAUUGUGUAGUCAACAUUAGUCAGAAAUAGCAUUAGAAAUAUUCACUUUGAUCUUCAUCAGAAUGCACACCCAGGAAUCCCAGUUCCACGAUAAAUGUUUGAUUUGUUCGAUAAUGUCCAUUUAUGUCCAAAUAGCUUCUUUUGUUAGCGCGUUUGGUAAACCAAUCCAAACGUGCGUUCAGGCAGGUCCAGCCGAAUGGUGGACAUAAAGUUAUUACAUCCCGUAGAAACUUGUCAAACUAAGUAUAGAAUCAAUCUUUAGGAUGUUUUUAUCAUAAAUGUUCCAACCAGAGAACUCCUAUGUCUGUAGAAAAGCAAUAGAACGAGAGCUAACUCUCCCGUGACCGCGACUCAGAGCCUGUGGCACUCUGGCAGACAACUGUCUCAAUCAGCUCUCAUUCACCCCCACUUCACAGUAGAAGCCUGAAACGACGUUCUAAAGACUGUUGACAUCUAGUGGAAGCCUUAGGAAGUGUAAUAUGACCCCAUUUACACUGUAUAGAUUUCCCACUUCCUGGUGGGAUUUUUCUCAGGUUUUCGCCUGCCAUAUGCUACUCAGACAUCAUUCAAACAGUUUUAGAAACUUCAGUGUUUUCUAUCCAAUACUACUAAUAAUAUGCAUAUAUUAGCAUCUGGGCCAGAGUAGCAGGCAGUUUACUCUGGGCACCUUAUUCAUCCAAGCUACUCAAUACUGCCCCCCCCUGUCACCAAGAAGUUAAACAAAUCUACUAUGAAACAAGAGUAUACACCUCACACAUGGUUAUGGGCUUUAAAAAAAUACCUGUACCAUAUUAGAAAUACAUUUGAAAUGUAUUCAAUUUUGAGUUUGCAUCCCAAUAUUACAGUUUAUAUACAUCAAAGAAGACAAACAUUACAAAACCAUAGAAACACAGAAUUUUCGGCGGGUUUUUGAAAUAAUGUUUAAUGAUAAAAGAUAUGAAUAACAUUCCACCCAUGAGUCCAUUUAGAUGGAGAUUUGGUCAUUUGACUGCAGGAAAGGGCUACUUGUAGUCUUUUAUGCCACAUUGCUCAGGACUUUAUUGGAUAGGACCACAUUUCAUGCCAUAAGAGACUCAUAAGGGGUGGGGUUGUAGUGUUGUGUGUCUGACACUUUGGUGCUUUGCAUUUCCUUCCCUGCAAUACUGUUUAACUGAGGGAUGCUUUCUCUCCCCUCCUUUGUAAAAUAACUAACACGUUCUGAUCCCCUUCCACACUGUUCAGCUGAUCAAAGCACUGACACUGCAGUUGACUAACACCUCUCUCUGAUGCCUGCUUCUCCUCAUGCUGUCAGCACUGUCCUUUCUCUUCUCUGUAACCUUGGCAACACUAACGCCUUACUCACCUCCGAUCUCUGACGUCUAACAUGACUAACAAGAUUGAGUCUGCUGAGAUGGCCUUGCUGUUAAUUUCAAUGAUGUGCUCCUAACCAAGCUAGCAGGGAGCAUACCCAUGACAAGCCUGUGCGGAUGGUUUGGUAACAUUAGUCUACCCUAACGUUACAGGAGUGUUGAGGAUGUUAGAGUUGUCAGUGUGUGUAGCUGUGUUGGGGGUAUCUCUCAAUCUUACCACCCUAGUUUUUAGAUGGUUUCCCGAGGCCUGGUUUGUCUUGUGAUUGCUGCAUGUACUGGUAACUCUGAGUAACCUUAGCUGGAGUCGUAAAGAACUAACCAACACUGGGGUAAUCCUGGUUUACUAACCUGGACUAACAGUCUAACAUUCACUAAUCAACCAAACUGAAACCCAAGCACUGGAGAAGUGCCUUGUCUGACUCUCCCUGGUUAAAACCAUCCUUAACCUAAUGGUCUGUUAAAACCACUGUGGGUGUACAUUGUGUGUUUAAGAGUGGGGCUGUUACUGUCAUGAAUAUUCUUAUACUCUGAAACCAAACCCCCAACUGCCAACAGCUCUCUUGUCAUUCCUUAAUAUAUACACUAACAAUAACACUCUAAUACCCAACAGUACUAACGUCUGCUAACAGACCUAUUGUUACUAAUACUCAACUGUACUAUGGAUGAUGUUGGCUGGACUUGUAAUUUCUAACACACUCACUAACCCUUUGCUUUGUGCCCUGAGUCUGAGACAGUCCUCUCACAUUUUCCUGAAACCCUUCUCCGCCAGACACAGAUCACCCAAAAUCAUAUACAAGAACUAUGUAUUUAUCCAUCUGUUGUAACCUUCAGUGUGAUAUGUUUCUUGAGACAUGUUACUUUUGGCCCCCUAAAGCACAAUGGUGAGUGAUUCCAGGAUCUGGGAUGGAAAGCUGGAUCAACCACUAGAUUUAAAGAAAAAGUGCACCUAGGUCGACCACACACUUCUGCUCAGGGUGACGAUUGAUUAAAAAAAAAAAAAAUAUAUAUAUAUAUAUUACAAAUCGUACAGUAACUAUGCUAAAGAAUUGUAUUUCAUUAAAGCUGAAGUAUUCUAUCUUAACAAAUGGCUGACAAAUGUUUGUCCCUCUGUCCAUUGUGUGGCCAACCUCAAAGGUGUUGCAGCUCAGUGCUUGGUUUGCAGUCUGCAUAGACACUGAUGUGUUAUCUUCCAAGAUAAACCAAAGGAAAUAGCAACCCUUUCCUGCUUUACUACUAACUGACUGGUAUACUAACAACCCCAUAUGAGGCCUAACAAUUUGGCCAUUGAUUCAUUGCUCUUACUAACAUACUGUAUCUUCCCACAUAAAACAAUGCUACAUUUUACUAUAGUACAUGUAGUAUCCGUACAUGUACUAUCCGUACAUGUACUACACAUGAUCCAGUAUCCCUGGAUCAUGUGUAGAAAUUACACAUUACAAAUCAUUUCGGUAUACAAUAACCGAAAAGACACUGGUUCGAAUCCCUGAGUCGACAAGGUGAAACACUUAAUCCUAAUUGCUCCUGUAAGUCGCUCUGGAUAAAGAGUCUGCUAAAUGUCUAAAAUGUAGAAUAGUAUACUGCACACUGUAGUAUCCCUUGAUCAUGUAGUGCUUACUAUAUACUUUUGUAGUAUACUAUACUACACACUGUAGUAUCUCUUGACUGUAUAGUGCUUCUAUUGGCUUGUGUAGUAUACUGGUGAAUAAUACACUCCACAUUGUAAUAUCCCUCUAUUGUGUACUGCUAACUAUAUACUGUAGAAUACUAUACUACACACCGUAGUAUCCCUCAUGUGUAGUGCUUACUACAUAUUUUUAUUGUAUACUGUAUAAUACUAGAUUAAAUAAUACAGCAUUAUCUGCAAAAAACACUAGUAAAUACUACAGCAAUGUCCAGUUUAAAACUAUAGUUAUACUAGAUUAUUUUAAUUUGCAUAUGCUUCACAUUCCCAUCCCCCAUACAGUGGUGUAAAGUACUUAAGUAAAAAAUAGUUGAAAGUACUAGUCAAGUAGUUGAGGUAUCUGUACUUUAUUUUACUAUUUAUAUUUUUGACAACUUUUACAUUCCUAAAGAAAAUAAUGUACUUUUUACUCUUUACAUUUUCCCUGACACCCAAAAGUACUUGUUACAUUUGGAAUGCUUAGCAGGACAGGAUAAUUGUCUAUUUCACAAACUUAUCAAGAGAACAUCCCUACUGUCUCUGAUCUGGCGGACUCACUAAACACAUGCUUCAUUAGUAAAUUAUGUCUGAGGGUUGUAGUGUGCCCCUGGCGAUCUGUACAUUUUUUAAAAACUAGACAAUUGUGCCGUCUGGAAUCUUUGUUUAAAAAAAAACUUUUGAUAAAGUAUAUUUAAAACCAAAUACUUUUACUCAAGUAGUAUUUUACUAGGUGACUCUCUUUAGUUUUACUCAAGUAUGAACAUUUUGUGCUUUUCUUCAUCAUUGCCCCAUAUCUCAGUUUGUGCUAACUAUGAGUGAGAUGUCUACAUGCCACGUAUAGACCAUAUAUUGUCUUCCCUACAGAUUAUAAAAAAAUAGAUGCUCUGAACUAUCUGAUCAGACUCCAGUUCUACCUACCUACCUACAGGUUAUGGAACAUUUGCUAUUUUUGCCCAGCAGGUUUCCUCAAGGAGAAAUCCUCCAUUUCUGAGCCUCUCCCGAGUCCAAACAUGAGUUUGCAAAGAUGGGUCAAGAUUGUAAGUACCAAUUGGAUGUCACAAAAAAGGGGUAAAAAGUACAAACAAAUACUACAAAAAACCUCAUAGUAAAUACUAGAGCAAUAUCUGUAAAAACUACAGUAAUUACUAUAGUAUUUACUAUAGUAAUAUUUUCAGUAUUUAUACUGUAGUCAGCUUUACUACUAGAGUUAUGUCCACAAAAACACUACAGUGAACUAUUAUAUACUUCCGUAAAACACUACACUGAAUACGAUAGUAUAUAAAUAUAGAAAUACUACAGUAUUGAGCAUAGUAUACUAUAGUAUUUUUUUCAUAUGUGACUCUUCUUUUAAUCCUGUCACCCACUCCACCCUGCCCCUUGGUGAGAUCAAACAGCAUCUAGAAGGCCAUGCAGUAUAUUGUCUUUACUUCCUGAGUCAUCAUGAGGAUAGACAUCCUUGUGUCCUUGAUCAUAUGACAUUUUACUAACCUCCUGAAAUGGAGUGAGAACACUAACUGUUGGGCGAUCCCACGCCAGUGGGAGCAGAAAAUAUUUUUGUUAUCUCAGAUUGUUCUUUCAAUUCUCACAGAAACUUCAUUGGGAGGAAGGAUGUUUGAAAUGCUUUUAUUUGUAUCACAAACUGUUUGAGAGAAUCAUGAUGAAAGUAAGAAACAUAAAAAGGAAAUAGUCAAACAAAAUAACAACUAUAUACAAGGAGUACCGGUACCGAGUCAAUUUGCAGGGAUACGAGGAAAUUGAGGCAAUAUGUACAGUUGAA